Molecule: unclassified non-coding RNA, 2484 nt
Filed under: Penaeus japonicus
Lineage: Eukaryota; Metazoa; Arthropoda; Malacostraca; Decapoda; Penaeidae
Description: uncharacterized LOC122242308, transcript variant X2
Source: RNAcentral
AAACACACCUGGCACAGAGGGUAUAAAGACACCAGUUCGCUCACGCAACCUUCAGUAUAUGAACAGACGUUCUUCUAUCGUGACUUACUUGUGCAAAGCUAAGGCCUUCUUCUAGUGUCCACAAAAUGGGUCCCGCGCAGAAAAGCUACGACGUGAAGAUCUCUUCUCCCUUUGCGAAAUUCGGUCGGCGGGAGGACCGGUUCCUUCCCCUCACUCGAAAGGGGAGGUUCUUCGAGGACUCGUCCUUCUCGACGACUCACCAGCACUUCGACGACGCCAUCAGGAAGAUCUUGGACAAGUGGGACGACGACACGGACUUCGAGCUGCCGGACCGCUGGGACGACGUUAGCCAUCGUCGCAACAGUGUUCUUGAUAGGUACAGGCGACUGCGAUCUCAGGACUCGUGCGAAGAGAACCAAGCUGUUACGGUCACUUCCGAUAACACGAGUCUAAAGAUCGUGUUAGACGUCCACGAUUUCAUGGAAGGGGACAUCAAAGUGCAGGUCUUAGACGAGGAAGAGCUGCUGAUAGAAGGACAGGCGUCUUCCCACACUUUCCGACGCACCUUCACCCUGCCCCAUCAAACGGAUCUGGAUGCCAUAACGUCUUUCAUUUCUUUGGAUGGCAUCAUGACAGUCACCGUUCCCAGACUGGGAAGCGAGCCUCAACCAAGACCGACCACUAUUCCCGUCACGGUUGAGAAAUCAAAAGAAGCCUCAGAAACGCAGAAAGGCUCGUUUUCCACCUCCUCGGUAAACACAGCCGAAGAAAACGUCUCGGUGGCAAGCGAUUGUGCUCGAAAAUCUCAGAAUAUAACUUCAGAGGAGACAAUGGCCCAAAAACAAGAGGAAUUCGAAGUUCCGAUCGCCAGGUCUGAACCCGAAGAGGCCAAUAUCAAGAGAUGCGUUCGAGAUAAUCAGACUUCGAUGUCAGAGGAGACGAAGACCCAAAAACAAGAGGAAUUCCAAAUUCCAAUCGUGAUGUCUGAGCAAGAGGGAGAUUUCAAGAGGACGCAGGCAGCAGAAUCUCGUGGCUGUCAGUUUUCCGAGACGAAAGAGAAGAGAACGCUAGAGAACAAAGAAGUAAUAAUACCGAUAAUCAUAGAAGAAGGAGAGAAGACAAACCAAACACACCAGAACCAAACCGUAGAAUCAAAAAGAGAUAAUCAAGAAGCUUCCAGCACACUCGACCUAAAAACAGAAGACCAAGAUAAUUGCGCAACUUCCGGCCGACCGUCAGUGAGGUUCUCAUCUCUGAAUUCCUCAUGCGGGGAGAACACAUCCGUCUCCUCAGGUGAUAAUAGAGAAGAGGCAUAUGUCAUCCCGGUGCUUGUGGAAGCACCGACCGAGACAGUGACUCCGCAGAGCCCCAAGGCCGAGAGAGCAAGCACGAGAGCAAGCACAGCAAGCGAGCAACAGCACCACGACCGCCGCCAUCAGCACACAGCACAGCAGGACAGCGAUCCAGAGUCAGAUAACAGCCAUCGACUGAAGGCAGACAAGAAACGGACGACCUUCUCCGAGGAGGAUGAAUUCCUGCAGGACAAGCGCGUCUAUCCUUCGGGCAGUAGGUAUCUGCCUAUCACCAGGAAGGGUUUGUUUACGCAGGAUCCUUCCUUCGAGAACGUUCGGCCGAAUUUCAGCCAGGCGGUUAGAGACGUGCUGGAAAUGUCACGGGAAUGGACGGUGAAGGACAAGGCCAUGCAGAACUACCGGAAUCUACGCGACCGGAACCUCAAGUUGGAGAACCAGGCUUUUUGCGUCACCGAUGACGAGUUCACGCACAAGGUUGUGGUAGACGUGUACGACUUCACCGGCGGGGACAUAACGGUCCAGCUGGUGGACGGCAAAGAGCUCGUGGUCGAAGGUCAGGCGGAGAAGCAAGAGGACACCAGAAUAUCUCGCUUGAGCUUCAUCCGCCGUUUCCAGCUGCCUCCCUUCGUCGAAUGGGAGGCCAUCACCGUCGCCCUUUCCUCUGACGGCGUCCUCACCAUCACCUCCCCGAAGAGCAGGCUCCCUCGAGGCCCGAGUGUGAGGCCAAGGCGAUCCCCCAGCGCCAGGAGGUCGCAAGAACGCGCGAGUGACGCAGCCGAACGCAACCAGAGGGAGAAAUAUACUCGAGAACCUUCUGAAGAAUUCGAGGAUUUUGACACCAGGAAGUCUGCGCUACAUUCCUUCAUGAAUCAGUUUUAAACCAAGGCCUCGCCCCCAUACCUGCUUUUAUAUGUAUACGAAUAUGAUGUUAUAUUUUUUAUGGUAUUUUCGAAGAUAAUCGGCACUGUGAUAUGAUCUCCAUGUUUUUGUUUUUUUAUGGGUGUGACUAAGCCUUUAUGAAGUUAUCACAGUAUCAACGGCAUCAGAUUUCCAGAUGCCGAGGUUGAUGGAUAGCAAGUAAAGAAUCUCUUAUAAAAAAAAAAUAUAUAUAUAUAUAUGCAAAUCAAAUGUUUGCCAUUAACAUUCCUCCAAUAAAGCUUUUUUGUCUAAA